UACAGAGGUCCCAAGCGUUGUUCGGAUUCACUGGGCGUAAAGGGUGCGUAGGUGGCUUGGUAAGUUUGAUGUGAAAUCUCCGGGCUUAACCCAGAAAGGUCAACUGAUACUGCGGGGCUAGAGUGCAGAAGGGGCAACUGGAAUUCUCGGUGUAGCGGUGAAAUGCGUAGAUAUCGAGAGGAACACCUGCGGCGAAGGCGGGUUGCUGGGCUGACACUGACGCUGAAGCGCGAAAGCUAGGGGAGCGAACGGG
RNAcentral lists this ribosomal RNA (253 nucleotides) under uncultured bacterium. RNAcentral's name for it is "partial 16S ribosomal RNA". It matches the Rfam family "Bacterial small subunit ribosomal RNA", at positions 524 to 776 of the family's 1533-position model. The record is from RNAcentral.